AGACUGCUCCACGUGCGCUGGGAGUCUAAGUAAGGUGCUGCCCUCCAACCACAGAAGCCGGGGUCGGAGCCAUGAGCCUGAGUCAGGACGACCUUCAGUUUCCUCAUCCAUGAAACCUGGGGAGGUUACUCUCAGGAAGGCUUGGAUCUGUUUCUUCUUCAUCCCUGUUUCUCAGUGUCCAGAACAGCUUCUGGCACGUAAUAGGCACUCCACAAAUAUUUGUUGAACGAAAGGAAGAAAAUGCCUAGCAGUCAGUCAGUCUGUUCUUACCUAAGUCGAGUGACCUCCAAAACUCGACGCUGCUUUUCCCUCUGCUGCUAAGCCUACCAGCUCCCACUCACAGUGAAGCCUUGGCCUCUCAGGCCUUGCAGGGUGACUCAGUUCAAAUGUACAUUUUAUUCUGCACUUUCUACUGCCCACCCCACUGGCAUCUCAUCUCGAGUCUCAACCAUACCCAAG
Molecule: long non-coding RNA, 459 nt
Filed under: Homo sapiens (human)
Lineage: Eukaryota; Metazoa; Chordata; Mammalia; Primates; Hominidae
Description: non-protein coding lnc-HPS5-2:1
Source: RNAcentral